CCGUGGCUGGCGGGUGCACCACCACCAAACGGAAAUCCAGUUUCAUUUUCCGCUGGUGUGGUGUGUUCCCUGUACCUGACUCUACAUUCAUCUAUUGAAGCAGAAAGGACUUGGGCUGGAGGCCAGUACCUUAUCUUCAUAUACAGAACCAACUGUCAGGAGGCUGACAGAUACUACAGCACCUUAUCUUCAUAUACAGAACCAACUGUCAGAAGGCUGACAGAUACUGAGGCACCUUAUCUUCAUAUACAGAACCAACUGUCAGGAGGCUGACAGAUACUACAGCACCUUAUCUUCAUAUACAGAACCAACUGUCAGAAGGCUGACAGAUACUGAGGCACCUUAUCUUCAUAUACAGAACCAACUGUCAGGAGGCUGACAGAUACUACAGCAUCUUAUCUUCAUUCUAUACAGAACCAACUGUCAGAAGGCUGACAGAUACUGAGGCACCUUAUCUUCAUUCUAUACAGAACCAACUGUCAGAAGGCUAACAGAUACUGAGGAACCUUAUCUUCACACCUGUGUUGGGUCCGGGUCUGAUUGGAACGGCCAGGCAGUUAAGCACGCCCAGCUAGACACAGCUCACAUGUUGGCCCAACUCCAAUAAGAAUGAUGUGACCCAGUCAGAAUUAGCCCAGUUUGACAUAUGUGAUUUAUUAGAGCCUUGCUGACAAUAGGAGCAGUGGCAAGGCUGACUAUUCUCUUUACGUAGCACUGCUGUCAACGCAGUCAGUCUGGCCACUGUCACAAAACAACGCUAGACAACUAACAGAUGACGUUAGACAACUAACAGAUGACGGCUCCAGUCACUUAGGUGUCAACAUGUGUGGGAAAGACUCUCCAAGACACUACUGUGAUGUUAUAUACCCAAGCUACAAGACUCUACUGUGAUGUUAUAUACCCAAGCUACAAGACACUACUGUGAUGUUAUAUACCCAAGCUACAAGACACUACUGUGAUGUUAUAUACCCAAGCUACAAGACACUACUGUGAUGUUAUAUACCCAAGCUACAAGACA
RNAcentral lists this long non-coding RNA (1018 nucleotides) under Oncorhynchus kisutch (coho salmon). RNAcentral's name for it is "lncRNA (ENSOKIG00005045474.1)". Lineage: Eukaryota; Metazoa; Chordata; Actinopteri; Salmoniformes; Salmonidae. The record is from RNAcentral.